UUGCGAUUUGUUUUCCUUUUUUUUUUUUCCUGUUUCAAAGUUUUUGUCUGAGAGUCCAGAACUUAAAGAUGACUCCAUUUUGCAAGAAAACCAUGUUCACCUUACUGAAACACAGUGGUUUCAGCUUUCUGAAGAGGUGAUCUCCGGUGAUCUGUCCUGGACUUGGUUGGUGUUCGUGGUUGGUGUGAAUGGGGAGCAGGGAAGUGUUGCCUUGGCCUGUGCACGGCGGUGAGUGCU
This 237-nucleotide long non-coding RNA is filed under the name Capra hircus (goat). RNAcentral's name for it is "lncRNA (ENSCHIG00010004713.1)". The record is from RNAcentral. Lineage: Eukaryota; Metazoa; Chordata; Mammalia; Artiodactyla; Bovidae.